This 1968-nucleotide ribosomal RNA is filed under the name human gut metagenome. RNAcentral's name for it is "bacterial LSU rRNA". It matches the Rfam family "Bacterial large subunit ribosomal RNA", at positions 1 to 1983 of the family's 2925-position model. The record is from RNAcentral.
GUAAAUAAUUAAGGGCGUAUGGUGGAUGCCUAGGCUCUCAGAGGCGAAGAAGGACGUGAUAAGCUGCGCAAAGCUCCGUUUAGGUGCAAAUAACCUUUGAUGCGGAGAUCUCCGAAUGGGAUAACCCAAUAUGUUGAAGACAUAUUAUACCGUAAGGUAGGCAAACGCAGGGAACUGAAACAUCUAAGUACCUGCAGGAGAAGAAAACAAACGUGAUUCCCCCAGUAGCGGCGAGCGACCGGGGAAAAGCCCAAACCGUUAUUGUUUCGGCAUUAACGGGGUAGUAGGACUGCAAGUUUGAUGAAAUAAAUGAAAUGGAACACUUUGGAAAAUGUGAUCACAGAGGGUGAUAAUCCCGUACAUGCAAGUUUAUGAAUCAUAGCAGACUCCUGAGUAAGUCGGGACACGUGUAAUCCUGACCGAAUCCGCCGGGACCAUCCGGCAAGGCUAAAUACUCCUGAGAGACCGAUAGUGAACCAGUACCGUGAGGGAAAGGUGAAAAGCACUUCGAACAGAAGAGUGAAAUAGUCCCUGAACCCAUACGCCUACAAGCAGUCGGAGCCGCUUCGUGCGGUGACGGCGUGCCUUUUGCAUAAUGAGCCUACGAGUUACUCAUCACCAGCGAGGUUAAGUACUUCAGGUACGUAAGCCGAAGCGAAAGCGAGUCUGAAUAGGGCGUCAAGUUGGUGGUGGUAGACGCGAAACCUUAGUGAUCUACCCAUGGGCAGGGUGAAGGUUUGGUAACACAAACUGGAGGCCCGAACCGGUAAACGUUGAAAAGUUUUCGGAUGACCUGUGGGUAGGGGUGAAAGGCCAAUCAAACUGGGAAAUAGCUCGUACUCUCCGAAAUGCAUUUAGGUGCAGCCUCUGUUGUUUUGUUCUAGAGGUAGAGCUACUGAUUGGAUGCGAGGGCUUCACCGCCUAUCAAAUCCGGCCAAACUCCGAAUGCUAGAACAUGAAGACAGGGAGUGAGCCAGCGGGUGCUAAGGUCCGUUGACGAAAGAGGGAGAACUCAGACCAUCAGCUAAGGUCCCCAAUUAUAUGCUAAGUUGGAAUUAAAACGGGGUGGGACUGCUUAGACAGCUAGGAUGUUGGCUUGGAAGCAGCCAUUCAUUUAAAGAGUGCGUAACAGCUCACUAGUCGAGCGGUCCUGCAUGGAUAAUACGCGGGCAUAAGCAUAUAACCGAAGCUAUGGGAUUGUAGAUGAUACAAUCGGUAGGAGAGCAUUCCAUUCAGCAUAGAAGCAGUACCGUGAGGUAUUGUGGAGCGGAUGGAAAAGCAAAUGUAGGCAUAAGUAACGAUAAUGCGGGUGAGAACCCCGCACGCCGAAAGAUCAAGGAUUCCCCGGCAAUGUCAAUCAUCCGGGGGUAAGUCGGAUCCUAAGGGUAAGCCGAGUGGCGAUCCCGAUGGCAAACAGGUUAAUAUUCCUGUACUGAUCAUAACUGCGAUGCAGCGACGCAGAGGUGACACUGCUGCGUACUGACGGAAUAGUACGUUGAAACCCGUAUUCUUUGAUACCGGUAGUGAAGCACGCCGGUAGAGAUGAAAGGUGAUAGUACCGCAAUGCUUCGGUUGCGCGGAUAACGCAGGUAAGCUGACUGCCAAGAAAACCUGCUAAGCUUCAGGUAAUGAUCAUCCGUACUGUAAACGGACACACGUGAUCAGGUAGAAAAUACUAAGGCGCUCGAGAGAUUCAUGGUUAAGGAACUAGGCAAAAUGGUCCUGUAACUUCGGGAUAAAGGACGCUCUUGUGAAAGAGCCGCAGAUAAUAGGCCCAGGCGACUGUUUACCAAAAACACAUGGCUAUGCUAAUUCGCAAGAAGAUGUAUAUGGCCUGACACCUGCCCGGUGCCGGAAGGUUAAGAGGAGAGCUCAGAGGUAACUCGAAGGUUUGAAUUGAAGCCCCGGUAAACGGCGGCCGUAACUAUAACGGUCCUAAGGUAGCGAAAUUCCUUGUCGGGUAAGUUC